CAGAAAUAUCAGCCUAGUUUAAAAGGCAAAAAUGAUUGAAACUCUGCAUUAGGAAUGGAAAGUCAUUCAUAACUCUACAUCAUAUGAUUAAAAGCUGAGCUAGACUAUUUAUAGCUAAGCACUGUCAAGAGCAAUAUGUGUUGAUGAGAGAACCUGACUGUUAGUACAUUCCUAGAUUAGGUGCAUGUUAAUAUGGCCCGGAUAAAGAAACAAAAGGAAUGAAGAGUGAAGAUAAUACUUAGAAGCUGGGGAAAAUGUUGAGAUUGAUUAGAUAAACAAAAUUGAAAAUCAAAGGGAAAAGGAGCUAAAGUAGAUAAAAUCUUAACUUGCCACCUAUUUGUAAAGCAAUUCUGCUUUCUAAAUGCAGAUCAUAAUGCUUUUAAAAUUUACUUCUAAUAAUCGAUGUCAAUAAUAAUCCUAGUAGUAAUAAUGAUAAUUAAUACUUUAUAAGGGUAGUUAAUUAAUUAUAAUAAAUUAAAAACUGUUAAAUAACAAUGAGUACAUGAGAGUGUAUAUUUCCUGAAGGCGUUUUGGUAAACAAAGGAAAGGAAAAUGUUAGAAUUCUGCUGACCAGAUGCAGAACUACAGCUGAAAUAUCCUUCUGGGAGAAGGAUGUUUUGGAUAGGUAUUUAUCUCCUAUUCAAAUACCUUUGUGUUUCAGGAUGCAUUCAGAACUUGGGUGCUGCCUUGUGCUAGUUCUACAUCGAAACUUCCUUUUGGGAGAAACAGGUCUGCAUUUGAGAUUUUGCCUGCAGUGAGAAAGAACAUUUUGCUCUUUUGCUCAUCGUUUUCUGUAUCAUUUCAGCAGGACCACGAAGAUGAUUGUCCUCUUGCACUCACCCUGGUGAGGCCACACUUUGAACGUUGUGAACUUGUGUUCAGUUUUGGGGCCCUCAAUACAAGAAAGACACUGAGGUCCUGGAGUGUGUCCAGAGAUGGGGCAGUGAAGCUGGUGAGGGGUCUGCAGCACAAGACUUAUGAGGAGCAGUUGAGGAAACUGGAAUUGUUCAGUCUAGAGAAGAGGAGGUUCAGGGGAGACCUUAUAACUCUCUACAACAACCUGAAAGGAGGUUGUGGUGAGGUGGGAAUUGGCCUCUUCUCCUGCAUAACUAGCAACAGGAUGAGAGGGAGUGGCCUCAAGUUGCUCCAGGAGAGGUUCAGGCUGAGUGUUAGGAACAAUUUAUUCUUUGAAAAAGUUGUGAGGUGUUAGAAUGGGCUGCCCAGGGAAAGGGUGGAGUCACCAUCCCCAGAGGUGUUCAGUGAAUGUUUUAAUGUUGUGCUAAGGGACAUGGUUUAGUGGGAAAAUAUUGGUGGUAGGUGGAUGGUUGGACUAGAUGAUCCUAGAGGUUUUUUUCCAAACUUGGUGAUUCUAUGAUUCUUUGAUUCUAUAAUUUAUGAAGACUUCAC
Molecule: long non-coding RNA, 1407 nt
Filed under: Phasianus colchicus (ring-necked pheasant)
Lineage: Eukaryota; Metazoa; Chordata; Aves; Galliformes; Phasianidae
Description: lncRNA (ENSPCLG00000009176.1)
Source: RNAcentral